AGCAGCCGCGGUAAUUCCAGCUCCAAUAGCGUAUAUUAAAGUUGCUGCAGUUAAAAAGCUCGUAGUUGAAUUUCGGGGUCAAUAUGUUGGUCGUGCCUUGGUACGUACUAGCUUAUUGAUUUCUCCUUUCUGACGAACCAUGAUGUCAUUAAUUUGGUGUCAUGGGGAAUCAGGACUGUUACUUUGAAAAAUUAGAGUGUUUAAAGCAGGCUCGCGCUUGAAUACAUUAGCAUGGAAUAAUGAAAUAGGACAUUUGAUUCUAUUUUGUGGUUUCUAGGAUCGAUGUAAUGAUUAAUAGGGAUAGUUGGGGCAUUAGUAUUCAAUUGUCAGAGGUGAAA
RNAcentral lists this ribosomal RNA (338 nucleotides) under uncultured Glomus. Its description in RNAcentral is "SSU rRNA". It matches the Rfam family "Eukaryotic small subunit ribosomal RNA", at positions 569 to 916 of the family's 1831-position model. The record is from RNAcentral. Lineage: Eukaryota; Fungi; Glomeromycota; Glomeromycetes; Glomerales; Glomeraceae.